RNAcentral lists this transfer RNA (85 nucleotides) under Clostridium sp. W14A. Its description in RNAcentral is "tRNA-Leu". It matches the Rfam family "tRNA". From Rfam's summary of the family: Transfer RNA (tRNA) molecules are approximately 80 nucleotides in length. Their secondary structure includes four short double-helical elements and three loops (D, anti-codon, and T loops). Further hydrogen bonds mediate the characteristic L-shaped molecular structure. tRNAs have two regions of fundamental functional importance: the anti-codon, which is responsible for specific mRNA codon recognition, and the 3' end, to which the tRNAs corresponding amino acid is attached (by aminoacyl-tRNA synthetases). tRNAs cope with the degeneracy of the genetic code in two manners: having more than one tRNA (with a specific anti-codon) for a particular amino acid; and 'wobble' base-pairing, i.e. permitting non-standard base-pairing at the 3rd anti-codon position. The record is from RNAcentral. Lineage: Bacteria; Bacillati; Bacillota; Clostridia; Eubacteriales; Clostridiaceae. RNAcentral also lists the same sequence under 1 other name.
GCGGGUGUGGUGGAAUUGGCAGACACGCAAGAUUUAGGUUCUUGUGUCGCAAGAUGUGCAGGUUCAAGUCCUGUCACCCGCACCA